Molecule: signal recognition particle RNA, 104 nt
Filed under: Granulicella tundricola MP5ACTX9
Lineage: Bacteria; Pseudomonadati; Acidobacteriota; Terriglobia; Terriglobales; Acidobacteriaceae
Description: SRP RNA; RNA component of signal recognition particle
Rfam family: Bacterial small signal recognition particle RNA
About the family: The signal recognition particle (SRP) is a universally conserved ribonucleoprotein involved in the co-translational targeting of proteins to membranes. Archaeal SRP consists of a 7S RNA and homologues of the eukaryotic SRP19 and SRP54 proteins. In most bacteria, the SRP consists of a 4.5S RNA and the Ffh protein (a homologue of the eukaryotic SRP54 protein).
Source: RNAcentral
GUUCUUGUGCCGGGUCCUACGCGACGUAAUCCCGCCAACCCCGCCAGGUCCGGAAGGAAGCAACGGUAACGGGCUAGUAUGGGCGCAGUAGGCCGCCCGGUGCA